This 640-nucleotide ribosomal RNA is filed under the name uncultured bacterium. Its description in RNAcentral is "bacterial SSU rRNA". It matches the Rfam family "Bacterial small subunit ribosomal RNA", at positions 840 to 1478 of the family's 1533-position model. The record is from RNAcentral.
UGGGUGCCGCAGCUAACGCAAUAAACACUCCGCCUGGGGAGUACGCACGCAAGUGUGAAACUCAAAGGAAUUGACGGGGACCCGCACAAGCAGCGGAGCAUGUGGUUUAAUUCGACGCAACGCGAAGAACCUUACCAAGUCUUGACAUAUUACGGCGGGGUCUAGAGAUAGACUCUUACUUCUUCGGAAGACUGUAAUACAGGUGGUGCAUGGUUGUCGUCAGCUCGUGUCGUGAGAUGUUGGGUUAAGUCCCAUAACGAGCGCAACCCCUAUUGUUAGUUACCAUCAUUAAGUUGGGGACUCUAGCAAUACUGCCGGUGACAAACCGGAGGAAGGUGGGGAUGACGUCAAAUCAUCAUGCCCUUUAUGACUUGGGCUACACACGUGCUACAAUGGCAGGUACAGAGGGAAGCAAAACUGUGAAGUCAAGCGAAACUCAAAAAGCCUGUCCCAGUUCGGAUUGCACUCUGCAACUCGAGUGCAUGAAGUUGGAGUUGCUAGUAAUCGCAGAUCAGAAUGCUGCGGUGAAUGCGUUCCCGGGUCUUGUACACACCGCCCGUCACACCAUGGAAGUUGGCAAUACCCGAAGCCUGUGAGCUAACCUUUGGGAGCAGCAGUCGAAGGUAGGGUCAGUAACUGG